Molecule: ribosomal RNA, 494 nt
Filed under: uncultured bacterium
Lineage: Bacteria
Description: bacterial SSU rRNA
Rfam family: Bacterial small subunit ribosomal RNA
Source: RNAcentral
AAAUGAAUUGACGGGGGCCCGCACAAGCGGAGGAACAUGUGGUUUAAUUCGAUGAUACGCGAGGAACCUUACCCGGGCUUGAAUUGCAGACGACGGUGGCAGAGAUGCCAUUUCCCUUCGGGGCGUCUGUGAAGGUGCUGCAUGGUUGUCGUCAGCUCGUGCCGUGAGGUGUCGGCUUAAGUGCCAUAACGAGCGCAACCCCUCUCCAUAGUUGCCAUCAGUUAAUGCUGGGCACUCUGUGGACACUGCCACCGUAAGGUGUGAGGAAGGUGGGGAUGACGUCAAAUCAGCACGGCCCUUACGUCCGGGGCUACACACGUGUUACAAUGGCGCGUACAGAAGGCAGGCCGCCGGCAACGUCGGUCCAAUCUUUAAAUCGCGCCUCAGUUCGGACUGGAGUCUGUAACCCGACUCCACGAAGCUGGAUUCGCUAGUAAUCGCGCAUCAGCCAUGGCGCGGUGAAUACGUUCCCGGGCCUUGUACACACCGCCCGU